Molecule: ribosomal RNA, 429 nt
Filed under: uncultured bacterium
Lineage: Bacteria
Description: bacterial SSU rRNA
Rfam family: Bacterial small subunit ribosomal RNA
Source: RNAcentral
UGAGGAAUCUUGCGCAAUGGGGGAAACCCUGACGCAGCAACGCCGCGUGAGUGAGGAAGGUCUUCGGGUCGUAAAGCUCUGUCAGGCGGGAAGAAAUGCAUGGAGGUGAACAGCCGCCAUGCUUGACGGUACCGCCAGAGGAAGCACCGGCUAACUCCGUGCCAGCAGCCGCGGUAAUACGGGGGGUGCGAGCGUUGUUCGGAAUCAUUGGGCGUAAAGAGCGUGUAGGCGGCUUGGUAAGUCAGAUGUGAAAGCCCUGGGCUCAACCCGGGAAGUGCAUUUGAAACUGUCAGGCUCGAGUAGGGGAGAGGGAAGUGGAAUUCCUGGUGUAGAGGUGAAAUUCGUAGAUAUCAGGAGGAGCACCGGUGGCGAAGGCGACUUCCUGGCCCUAUACUGACGCUGAGACGCGAGAGCGUGGGUAGCAAACAG